AACUUCCGUUACGUCAGAAUGUGACCUUAUUUGGACACAGGGUUGCUGCAGAUACAAUAAAGAUGAGGUCACUGGGGAUGGCCUGCAUACUAUGACUGGUGUCCACACAAAAAGGGCACAUUUGGACACUGAGACAACGAGAGAGGAAAGAUGAUGUGAACAUGAAAGCAGAGAUGGAAGUGACACUUCGACCAGCCUAGCAAUGCUGAAGACGCCAGCAAACCACCAGGAGCUGGGCGAGAGGCGUGGAAGAGACUCGUGGCCCUCAGAAGGAAGCCCUGCUGCCAACUCGUGAACUUCUUGCCUCCAGAAUUUGACAACAGUCUGCCUCCUUGUACUCACAUGGAUCUAUGACCUGAAUUACCACGUCAAUCAACUGGGAAUAAAUUUUUCAAAGGAAUUACAGAAAAAAGCACCUGCUUUGCUCUUGGGUUUUCUGAGAGACCACAGAGAAGACUGUUCCCGCUCAUCACAGUAUUGAUUUCAUGUAGGAACUUUUUCCUUUUAACAACGAAACGACUGCAAGGUCCCACUGUCCACAGCAAACCAAUCUGACAAGGUCACCACCUGAAGCCCACUCUCUGUCUUCCAGGCACCACACACUGCUUUGACGUCACCACCAUCUAUUUAUAAGAAUUCACAAACUGGGUCUAAAUUACAGACUUCGAUUACAAAGUGACUUGCCGACAUGAACGACCCACCUCUGACAAACUCCUGGAAUUUCUAUGCACAAUCUCACCUUGAAAAGGAGGAGUUACCACCUGUCAUAUCCCCUUCCCCUGCCUCCUGAUCCCAGGCUAACAUGGAGCCAUGGGGAAAGAAAAGUUUUGCUUAAUGAUGAAUGAUUAAACUCUCUAAAAAUCCCCACACCUAUGGAUUAAUCAAGAUGUCACCAUCUCUCUGGUUUUUGUUCUGACCUUAAUGAUAGUCAUGGGGGAGACAAAAGGAAGAGAGAGGUAGGAAUGAAAAAGGAGAAAUGAUGUAGUGAGUGAGAGAAAGCCAUAGUAUGCCAUCUCAGCAUCUAUCCUAAAAUCUACAGAACCUAGAGAUUAGAUCUACACUCACCAUUAAACAUCUUGAAAAACCUCAUGCAAGUCAUCUGGCCUGUUACCACUUGUC
Molecule: long non-coding RNA, 1119 nt
Organism: Ailuropoda melanoleuca (giant panda)
Lineage: Eukaryota; Metazoa; Chordata; Mammalia; Carnivora; Ursidae
Exons: 3
Source: RefSeq, a predicted model, not a curated record